Molecule: ribosomal RNA, 253 nt
Filed under: uncultured bacterium
Lineage: Bacteria
Description: partial 16S ribosomal RNA
Rfam family: Bacterial small subunit ribosomal RNA
Source: RNAcentral
GACGAAGGAUGCAAGCGUUAUCCGGAUUCACUGGGUUUAAAGGGUGCGUAGGUGGGAAUGUAAGUCAGUGGUGAAAUCUCUGAGCUUAACUCAGAAACUGCCAUUGAUACUAUGUUUCUUGAAUUUUCUGGAGGUCAGCGGAAUAUGUCAUGUAGCGGUGAAAUGCUUAGAUAUGACAUAGAACACCAAUUGCGAAGGCAGCUGGCUACAGGGAUAUUGACACUGAGGCACGAAAGCGUGGGGAUCAAACAGG